Non-coding RNA from Castor canadensis (American beaver), 3077 nucleotides. The record is from RefSeq and is a predicted model, not a curated record. NCBI's taxonomy places the organism in Eukaryota, Metazoa, Chordata, Mammalia, Rodentia, Castoridae.
AUCCUGCUUCAGCCUUCUCCUACCAUAACCCCAAGCUCCCCACACGAGCUCAAGGCCAGGCACCUGUCCCCCCAUGCUAGCCAGGAGGCUUCUAUAGGCCAAUUUCGGACGUGUCAGACGUGUCUACCUGUACCGCGGCACUGGUCCUGAUGCGGGGAGGGAGCCACGGGUUCCUGAUCUCGAGGGAUCAUAUACAUCUCAUCUCACAUACACCAACGCCUCCAAUUCCUCCAGUUUCACCGAUUCCUCCAGUUCCUGUCCACUUCUUUCACUUCCAUUAGUCAACCCCACCCGAUCUUCCGCUGCCGGAUCCUUUCCCACGCAGCUGCAAUUCUGCAACUUGUGAUUUUUCUUCGUUGCAUGAGGUACCGCCGGGGCAGCCCUGGACUGGGGAGAGCCUGGAUUUACCCUUGCGCUGUUGGCGUUGGGUUCUCUGCCAAGCUCCAAUGACUUCUGGGAGAAUCAGCAGGGCAGCCCAGCUGACAGAGUGCCAGGCAUUUGAAUCCUUCUCUUCAAUCUUCGCCACGUCUCCAUUUUGCCAAAAGGAAAAGGAAACUGAGAUUAAGGUCGAUUGCUUUGGUCAACUCCACAAGGGAGAUUGGAGCCCAGAUCCCGUUGGGAACCUCUCUGCAGUUUAAGCCACGCAGUCUCGGGUGAAUUGAGUCCUGGCAGGACAUGGGCCAACUAAGCAGAGAGAGAGUGGGCUUGAAUCUCCCAGUGUUCCUUUGUUUCGACCCCGGGAAAGCUUUGAAAUUCUUAUUUUCAAGUAAAUGAUUUUGGCAGCGCUUAGAGAAAGACGGAAGUAAGACUCAAGGAGGGACUUGUAGCAAGUUAUGGGAGAACCCCCAGGGAGGUGUCGGGCCCAAGAUCACUCCUGGAUUUGUCCUUAGAGUCGAUCCAUCUGCUCAUGAGUUUGGAGGUCCUGUAGGACCUAUGUCCCGGGCAUUCUUGGAUUGAGAGAGAGAAGGGGCGCAGGGCCAGUGGCUGUCCCAAAUUAUCCCACCCCCACACACACACACUUUCUCUCCAGGGGCUCCAUUUGAGGACCCCUCCACCCAAGUGGCUGUAAGGGAGCAGAGUGGAAGCUGGAGCCUGGGAACCUCUGGGCUGGCAGGGAGGGGCUGGAGCCCAACUCCCCGACGACCCCGUCCUGGGCCCCAGCCGCGGGAUCGCCCCGUGGCAGCCCCUACAGGCCACAAGUCCCUCCCCACAAGUCCCAUUAUGUUGUAUUUAUGUUUCUCUUUAUUGUUUUUCCCCCUCUCUUAUUAUGGUCUCACUCUGGGGGAGGCAAAGGAUAUAAUAUAUUCAUCUUUAUUAUACGAAAUCUGUGUGAAGCAUUUAAUAAAACGCUGUUUCCACACAGUCAGGGAUAUUAGUGAGAGCCAUUCUUAAGUUAAUGCUCCUGUACAGAGGGGGCCUCCGUCACAGCGCCUGCUGCUGGCGGAGCGUGGGAAGCGCAAGCCCUGGUCGGCUUGCGCACCUUGCCCACCCUGGGUGGCUCUUCUCACUGGCCUGUCCCAGCCCCUUUGCCCAUCCCAGGGCAUCUCUCUGUGAACCCUCGGGCUCCAGCUUGUCAGGGGGGUUCAGAGCAGCCGAGAUCAAGCCCCGUACAUUCUUAACUCUCUGUGAGCCGUGGUUUGUGCCUAUGAAAAAUGGGAAGAAGUCCAUCGUUCCCUCCCUCUUGGGAGUCUGAAAACACUGUGAAUUGAGUCCCAGCACUGUGAGGGUGAACAGGAUUUUAUAACAGGAAAGAAAAGUUCGAGGAUCUAUGUGGAGGGGAUAUAUGAGGGCCAGAGAGAAACCAGGGGGCUGCAGGAGUGGUUCCAGGCAACUUAGACUAAACUAGACCCCAGGGGAGCAAACAGGGCAACUCCAGUUUGAGGGAAGACCAAAAGGUUUCCCAAUGCCCACCUGGGCCUCACUCCCAGUGAGUGAAGACUGCCAAACCUAGAAAGGAUUUUCAUCUGUCACCCUUGGCUCUCAAAUAGUCUUUUUUGUGAACAGAAAAAUAGUCUUAAGUUCCAUUUACAGCUAGUAAAUUGAGGCUCAGAAAAAUCAGGUAGCUUGUUUGAGGUGUCCCAUCCAGGAAGUAGUAUAGCAGCUCAUGCCUUCUGCCAAACUCAGUGUCCCUCUCCCCCCAGCCCUCCUGCUCCCUUCCCCUACCUCCACAUCCAUCCUCCAGGGUUUUUCAUGGCCUGUAAACUUUACAUUCUGCCUUCUACACACACACACACUCCUAGGGAUGUCCAUGGUAAGGAGAAUCAAUCUCAUAAUUUUCCAGAUCCAGGCCCAUUGCCCUUUAGAGAUUACUGGCUGGUGCUUUUAGGGCCCAGAUUUAGUCUGACUUAGGCUGCUUGUGCCAAUGCAUCAGGGAGAACCGGUGGCCAGGUCAGACCAACAGAAUUUGGGCAGGAAAGGAUUGAAGGGGGCAUUGAGCCUCUAUGGUUAGGAUUAAUUCCCUCCCCCAAGUCUCAGUCCUCUCUGCCCUUGUCACCCAUCAUUGGGGUAGAGGCUAAACCAGAUCACCCACAUCCUAAGGGCUGCUGGGGGAGCUUACUGGAGGCUGAAAAUACUUGAAGAAUCUGACAGCUCCCACCUGGGGCUGGCUGGGAGAGGAGGAUACAAGACUAAUUUCAUCAUAGGGCUAGGACUAAGAUGAGACAAGUGAGGUGCCUGGGACCCCAAACUUAAGGAGGCACUUUCUCUCUGUGUUGCUCCCCUUAAGUUUUGUGCCUUAGACAUCUCAUCACCCACCCUUAUCCCAGCUCUGUUGUGUGGUCCCAGGAGAUAGAAUCAUGACCCAUGAAUUGCUGAGAGGUGACUGAGAGGAUGAAUUCAGCUCAUCUUUGUGGUUUUCUGAAAGGUAGAAUUAUAAACAAUGGAAGGACCCACCUUGUGUGGGAGUGAGCUUCUGCCACUACAUGGAGUGUGCAAGCAGAACUUAGAACUUGCUGAAAAGGGUCCAGAUAUGGUAACUCAUACCUAUAAUCCCAGCUACUUAGGAGAUGGCAAUCAGGAGGAUUAAGGUUCAAGACCAGCCCAGGGAAAAAAUUACUGAAACCCCAUCUCAACCAAUA